This 866-nucleotide ribosomal RNA is filed under the name uncultured archaeon. Its description in RNAcentral is "bacterial SSU rRNA". It matches the Rfam family "Archaeal small subunit ribosomal RNA", at positions 1 to 876 of the family's 1478-position model. The record is from RNAcentral.
UCCGGUUGAUCCUGCCGGCGGCCACCGCUAUAGGAAUUCGAUUAAGACAUGCGAGUCGAGAGUCUUCGGGACUCGGCGGACUGCUCAGUAACACGUGGAUAACAUGCCCUUAGGAGGGGGAUAAUCUCGAGAAAUUGAGGAUAAUACCCCAUAGGCCAUGAAUGCUGGAAUGCUUUAUGGCCCAAAGCUCCGGCGCCUAAGGAUUGGUCUGCGGCCUAUCAGGUUGUAGUGGGUGUAACGGACCCACUAGCCUAUGACGGGUAUGGGCCUUGAGAGAGGGAGCCCAGAGAUGGACUCUGAGACACGAGUCCAGGCCCUACGGGGCGCAGCAGUCGCGAAACCUUCACACUGGGGGAAACCCUGAUGAGGGAAUUCCUAGUGCCUGCAUUUUUUGUAGGCUUUUAUCUAGUGUAGAUAGCUAGAAGAAUAAGGGCCGGGUAAGACGGGUGCCAGCCGCCGCGGUAAUACCCGCGGCCCAAGUGGUGGUCGAUAUUAUUGAGUCUAAAACGUCCGUAGCCGGUUCAGUAAAUCUUUGGGUAAAUCGGCCAGCUUAACUGACCGAAUUCCGAAGAGACUGCUGAACUUGGGACCGGGAGAGGCCAGAGGUACUUCUGGGGUAGGGGUAAAAUCCUGUAAUCCUAGAAGGACCACCGGUGGCGAAAGGCGUCUGGCUAGAACGGAUCCGACGGUGAGGGACGAAGCCCUGGGGCGCAAACGGGAUUAGAUACCCCGGUAGUCCAGGGUGUAACGCUGCAGGCUUGGUGUUGGGGGUCCUUCGGGGGCGCCCAGUGCCGGAGAGAGUUGUUAAGCCUGCUACUUGGGGGAGUACGUCCGCAAGGAUGAAACUUAAAGGAUUGGCGGGGGGG